This 616-nucleotide long non-coding RNA is filed under the name Agrilus planipennis (emerald ash borer). RNAcentral describes it as "uncharacterized LOC108742853, transcript variant X2". The record is from RNAcentral. Lineage: Eukaryota; Metazoa; Arthropoda; Insecta; Coleoptera; Buprestidae.
AUUGUUGUGUGGUUAUAAAAUGGUUUGCAUUUAUUAUGUAUUUAUUACGAUGUGUAGUUUAAUAUAUUUUGAUUUAAGUUUAUCCCUUCCUAUUGAACUUUAUAUCAGUAAGAUGUAUAAAUCGACCUAAAUUAAGUGCUCCAAGUCCAAGUGAAAUAUUACAUAGCCUAAUUCUGGACAUCUUGCCAAUUUUUCUGGAGGCAGAAAAAUUAAGGAUUUGUAGGAAUGGGUUGGUUACUUCUUGAAGACACUACCAGAAAGCAUGACACAGUAGGAGAUAGGAGAAAUUUGAAAAUUAAUCAUUAGUUAAUUAUAUGGUCAAUGCAGUGGGUGUUAUUGUGUUUAUUGCGCUUUUAUGAAAAAAAGCAAGUAGUCUACAUGCCCUCCUUCUCGUGCAACCUUUCCUGUUUUCUUUUCCAAUUCGGAUCAAGCUGUAGUUAAUAAAGAAUGAAUCCUACUUAAAAAUGCUUAAUCGACAGUAGGCUGAAGUCACUGCACCCCUCGAAGACCAUCACAAACAGCAGCUUGGAUAUUUUGGAUCCGCUUCAGAUACUGUUUAAAUUUGUUUAUCAUUAUAGAAAAAGCAAGCAUUGCGAAAGGAAUACAACGAAGACAG